AGAUGCGAUAAUGACCUUUAUUUCGAAAGCUUUCGUUGACUAAAUUGGAAUAAUUCAAUAAGAUAAGUCUGAACUAGAAAUGCAACGCAUAAGCGUUAUUGUCCUUGUUGGGUUAGUAACUGUUGGUGUCACGUUACCAGGGAUACACGCGGACAGUGAACAUGUAGGGCCAUCAGGAAAAACCGGAAGUGCUCCAAAUGCCAAUAACGCCAACAAUCCCGCAACGAAUCCAGAACAGAUAUUAAGACAACAGUGUAAACGAAUUUGUGCCAACCAAGGCCCGUGUCCACCAGAAUGUGCGGAGGCCUUGAUGGACCCCUGGGCUCAGGAUUCGGUUGGCAGAUAACAUUGCGUUUCGAUUAUACUUAUGCUUGUUGUGUGGUGUAAAGCUUUUGUCGAUUAAAGUGUACUUCCAAAG
Molecule: long non-coding RNA, 418 nt
Organism: Mya arenaria
Lineage: Eukaryota; Metazoa; Mollusca; Bivalvia; Myida; Myidae
Exons: 3
Source: RefSeq, a predicted model, not a curated record